RNAcentral lists this unclassified non-coding RNA (349 nucleotides) under Hevea brasiliensis (rubber tree). The record is from RNAcentral. Lineage: Eukaryota; Viridiplantae; Streptophyta; Magnoliopsida; Malpighiales; Euphorbiaceae.
AGGUGGAGCAGACCAAAAGGAAAGUGGAUGAGGACUUCCAAACUGAGAGUCUAUGAGAAGACAAAUUGGCUAAAGUCUUCCACUCCACAAAGGGACAUAAAACAGAGCUCAGCAAACAAAAAUUAAUAUACCACUAUCUUAGAAUCCAAGUCCAAACUUUCCAAGAACAGGGGCAGUGUAGGUAUUAUUUCUUACCUUUGAUUUCCUCCAUGGCAAAAGGUAAUUCUCCAAGAGACGAAGCCAUAUAGAGACCCAGCACAUCUUCCUCUCCUAAAGAGAGCCUAGCACCAAUGCAUACCAUUCUCAUCCAAUAGUACCUAAGUCUUAUGCACGUGAUUUCUUGUAAUCU